Molecule: long non-coding RNA, 3733 nt
Organism: Mustela lutreola (European mink)
Lineage: Eukaryota; Metazoa; Chordata; Mammalia; Carnivora; Mustelidae
Exons: 4
Source: RefSeq, a predicted model, not a curated record
CAUCUGUAAAACAAGGGGAAUAGAUCAGACAUUCUGGUUUUUUUUUUUUUUUUCCACAUUAUUAUGAAAUUUGGGACCAUCCCAAGCCCUUCUGCCAAGGUCCUGGGCUGCAAGGGUAAUUCAGGGCCUAGACACUUUCCAUAGCUUGAUUCUUGGCUUUUGUCUAGUUGGCUUUAGCAUGAUUCUGUGACCUUACUUGCCAACAACUAUAAGCAAUGACUUAUAUAUCUCAAUGCCUUUACCACUGCAAUCCCUGGGAACAGAGACCCAUUUUGAAGGCAAGGAAGCACUCUGAAGGGCUCUCCUUCGGUAAAGGUACACUGGUCAGAGCAGGCCUGGGGUGGGACUGGGUUGAUCGGGGGGAUCUUGCUGACUUGCACCUCAAUUUCACAGGAUCCUGGAGGUUCAAUUUAGGAAAGACAGCUGGCUGCAGAGAAGACAGGGGAGGGCAGAAGAGGAGGAACAAGAAAGGGACACAGGAAGAACUAUCAAACUCCCUAUUAAUAAUAGAAAAAUAAGAGUACCAAGUAUAUGACUGAAUUAGGGGCUGGGGGAAGUCAAAGAGAGAGAGAGAUGGGUGAGAGGAAAUGAAGAGGUGAUGAAGGCUCCUAAAAAUGAGCAUUAAUGAUUUUUGUCUGUUUGCAGAUUCAGAACUGUAUUGCCCAACACAAGAGUCCUGGUCAGUGCGUUCAAGAACAAAGGUAGGCUCAGUAUACUGGAAUUAGUAUAACCACUCUUGUUCUGUCUAGGUAAGAAGCCCAGGAGUAAGGAUCCAUUUAUGAGAGCUUCUUCUCGAUAGCAGCUCUCUAAAAAAACACAGGCGGGGACCACAGAUGGGAUUAGCAAUUUCACAAAGACUGACUGGAAGGAUCUAUGCUGGAAACCUUUUUCUUGAAAAUAAUCCAGGAUUUAGGAUGCCAGGACCGUCAAGUCAAGUUCUUCCCUGUAGCAUACACCCUGGUAGUGUUACUGAACACCGGGCAAGAGAAUAAUUUCAGAGCAGACUGUUCAAACCAGAAGGCCCCAUCCCUGAGACUGGGAAGUCCUGCUGCUAUUAGAAAGCUAGAAAGGGAAGCUUCUGCUUAUCUGUCCAACAUUCAGAGGGUUUGGGUAGUAGCCCUCAGAACAAAAUGCUAUUUGGGCAGCUAUUUAAUGCUGUAAGAAUCACCUAGAGCAGAACCCACCUGUGUUGGAUGGAGUGAAGCCCGGCAAGGAAGGGCUGUUGAGGCCGGGGAGCAACACAGGAGGAAUGCCCUGGAGCGCCGGAUAUGCUGUAGGAAGGUUAAGAGCCUGAAGAGGGGCAUUGUCAAACAUCCCUUGCUGCUGAGCUGCCAGUCCGAGGACCUCAUUGGCCUUUUUAAUCCGGUCCAACUCUUGUUGAGCCAUCAACUGACGUACAGUGGCGGGGUCAAAGUAUUCUUUCUCCUUGUCCAACUGGCUUCCAAUGGUGUCCUUAACUUUGGAGAUAUGCUGCUGGGAAAAGAUAUGGUCACGUACAGACAGCCGAGCGCUGUACUUGAUGCCACACAAAGUGCACUCUGUUUUCGGUCCCUCGUAACUUGUUUGGUUUAUACCAAAAUGCUUGGCCAUGCUUAACUUGGACUUCUUUUCCUUUGCCCGGGCAUUCUGGAACCAGACCUGAACAACUCUCUUUGGCAGUCCAAUAUCAUUGCCCAGGACCUCACACUCUAGCAUGGUGGGCGUCCUGUAGUCAUUAAAGCACGACUUGAGGACUUUCAGCUGCAGAUUGGUCAUUUGAGUGCGAAAACGUUUCUGCCCUGGCCGAUCCCCACUGUCUCCAGAUUUGCCUGCUGACCCACUUGCACCAGGACUCGGGGAGCAGGGGUCUGCAAGGCUCGAGGUUUCACUGUAGUCCACUGUACCUUCAUUGUCAUAUUCCUUGCUGUAAAAGCUUGGGGCUGGGCUGACCAGACCAGAUGACAACCGAUCUUCAUACUCAGACAUUGCCAUCAUGGCUGCUUUGGUCAACCCCUCACUGGGUGCAGAAGAGGAUUUGGUUUCAGUUGCUAUUCCCGUCGCGCUGUCAUUAUCUGCAUUGCCCUCAUCUCCAGUAGUGGUAUCCGUGAUUGCUGUGUUGACAGAGGAACAGUCAUCAUUGUCCAGCUUAGUUUGGUCAAAGUUCAGAUUAACGGAGGACAUGGAGGGGCUUUCAAAGUCUUCAAUCCCUUCCACCUUGAUGGAAGAAGGGCUAAGAAGAGUUCGGGGAGACAACUCCAUGGUUUUACUCACAGGUGAGAGGGGGACACCUUGGCCAUCACUACUGCUUGGGGGUAGGUGGGAAAAGCUGGCUCCGUCAAAAAUGUCCCCUUUCAUCUGCAGUCCCCCAUCGCAGUCUAAGAGCAUUGCAGACAGAGUUAGGUUGUAGCCUGCUCUCUUGGCUUCAUGCCAAUGACGGGACCGGAUAUGAGCCUCGAGGGCAGUCUUGGCUUUGAAGAGUGCUCUGCAGAAAGGGCAUCUUCGGUGGGCCUGCGCUGGGCCCACCGCACGGAACUGUCCUUUCCGUUCCCGGGCUCGGGUAUUCUGGAACCAGACCUGUACCACACGUUUCUUCAAGCCCACCUCGUGCGCGAUGUGAUCCAACAUCUUUCGAGUUGGAUUGGAGUCUAAGAGAUACUUUUGGUACAGGAUCUCUAGCUGUUCCGGUGUAAUGGUUGUCCUCAAACGCUUGUCUCUCUGAGGCUCUUCUCCUCCCGUGCCACUGUCGUUUUCUCCAGGGCUCGCACUGGCCUUUUCCUCCAGCUUCCUCUUCAGAGUGUUCAUUGUGGAGGUUGGAGUCGAAGGAGACGUGGCCGAGCUGGCUGGAAUCUGAGGACCCGGAGCUGGUCAUCGGUGAUCCUGGUGCGAGGCCUCUUGUUCUGCUGCUGGAGCAGGCUGGGGUUGAGCUGAUGCUGGUACAGCUGGGCCAGGUCCGCAGGCAGAGGCUCCACAGGUCCGAGCUGAGGGGGCAGCUGAGCCGGCAAGGUCUGCAGCGGCAUCGUCUGCAUCAUCAGUGGUGAGAAGAUGGGCAGCUCCAUGGGCAUGGAGAGUUGGCAUAGGAAGCCGGAAUCUUCUCUCACAGAGCCUGGGUCAGCAGAAGAGGGCUUCAGAUCUCCACUGUGCUCUGCACUUACAGAGGGCAAGAUGUUCUUUCCCAGAUCCUCUGAGGUUUCUGUAAUUUAAAAAAAAAAAAAAGAAAAAGAAAAAAAAAGCCAAGCCCAGUGAUAAAGAAGGCUUUGUUUCAAGGAUGGCAUCCACAGCUAUCUACCUAGUGAGUCCUUGUGACCACUGAAUCUUAUAGUGAGGGAAAUACCCAGUUGGAACAGAGCCUCUCCACACAGCCCCUGAAAAGAGUAUAUACUAUAAGCAAGUGCACAUGAACAGAGAGGACUAAAAGGAAAUAAAAAAGUUGCAUUCGUAAUAGGUCUGUAUCCUAUCUUGGAUCUGUUUUUACACGCCAUUCAGUUGCUUGACUCAGAAUCUUGAGUUUCUCAAGAACUGGUUUGAAGGUUACUGAUCUUAGACUGGAUUCCCUUUUGCGUGGACCCAAACUAAAAAAUAUGUGAAUUAAUGCUAUCCUAAAUUGUGGGGAUUUUAAGAUAACUGUUGUCCAUUGUAAUAGAAGAAAUUUUGGAAUAUGUUUUUUAGCAUCAUUUGUUGUAACAUAACUUUUGACUGUCUUCUCUGUUCCAUAAGAAAUGAACAUUCAACUGGCCAUUAAAUUAUAUAAAAAUUA